RNAcentral lists this ribosomal RNA (459 nucleotides) under uncultured bacterium. Its description in RNAcentral is "partial 16S ribosomal RNA". It matches the Rfam family "Bacterial small subunit ribosomal RNA", at positions 338 to 795 of the family's 1533-position model. The record is from RNAcentral.
CCUACGGGUGGCUGCAGUGAGGAAUAUUGGUCAAUGGGCGGGAGCCUGAACCAGCCAAGCCGCGUGAGGGAAGAAGGUACAGCGUAUCGUAAACCUCUUUUGUCAGGGAACAAAGGCGGGGACUAGUCCCCGGAUGAGUGUACCUGAAGAAAAAGCAUCGGCUAACUCCGGGCCAGCAGCCGCGGUAAUAUGGGGGAUGCGAGUGUUAUCCGUAUUUAUGGGGUUUAAAGGGAGCGCGGGCGGCCGGUUAAGUCAGCGGUAAAAGCCCGGGGCUCCACCCCGGCGAGCCGUUGAAACUUGCGGACUGGAGUUGGAGAGAGGUACGCGGAAUGCGCGGUGUAGCGGUGAAAUGCUUAGAUAUCGCGCAGAACCCCGAUUGCGAAGGCAGCGUACCGGCUCCACACUGACGCUGAGGCACGAAAGCGUGGGUAUCGAACAGGAUUAGAUACCCGAGUAGUC